UAAACUAUUUUAUGUUUUUUCUGGAUUGGUUUACAUUAUAUAGGCAGUUUUAUUUGCAGGAUUUCAAGGUGGAAUAUCAUGAACUCUCGCGCACAAAAUCAUGGGCCAGUGCUCCCACACUGUUGGCCACUAACUUCUAAAUUCUACUGGCCCUAUGGGCCAGUGGGGCAAAUUGGUUUGUGUCAAGCCCUGGAAUCUGUCUCUCUCUU
This is a long non-coding RNA of Thalassophryne amazonica, 209 nucleotides long. RefSeq lists it as uncharacterized. The record is from RefSeq and is a predicted model, not a curated record. The transcript is spliced from 3 exons. NCBI's taxonomy places the organism in Eukaryota, Metazoa, Chordata, Actinopteri, Batrachoidiformes, Batrachoididae.